RNAcentral lists this ribosomal RNA (514 nucleotides) under uncultured bacterium. Its description in RNAcentral is "bacterial SSU rRNA". It matches the Rfam family "Bacterial small subunit ribosomal RNA", at positions 9 to 518 of the family's 1533-position model. The record is from RNAcentral.
GAAUUUGAUCUGGUUCAGGAUGAACGCUAGCUACAGGCUUAACACAUGCAAGUCAGGGGCAUCAUGCGGUUGCUUGCAACCGAUGAUGGCGACCGGCGCACGGGUGAGUAACGCGUAGUCCAACUUCCCCUUAGUAGGGCAUAGCCCGUGAAAUGCGGAUUAACACCCUAUGUUCUUCAUGGAUGGCAUCUGACGUGAAGCAAAGUUUACGCUAAGGGAUGGGGAUGCGUCUGAUUAGGUUGCAGGCGGGUAACGGCCCACCUGGCCGACGAUCAGUAGGGGUUCUGAGAGGAAGGUCCCCCACAUUGGAACUGAGACACGGUCCAAACUCCUACGGGAGGCAGCAGUGAGGAAUAUUGGUCAAUGGGCGAGAGCCUGAACCAGCCAAGUAGCGUUGCAGGAUGACGGCCCUAUGGGUUGUAAACUGCUUUUAUCAGGGGAUAAAGUCGGCUACGCGUAGCCGUUCGUAGGUACCUGAUGAAUAAGGACCGGCUAAUUCCGUGCCAGCCGCGGC